This 78-nucleotide transfer RNA is filed under the name Candidatus Bathyarchaeota archaeon. RNAcentral describes it as "tRNA-Arg". It matches the Rfam family "tRNA". Rfam says of the family: Transfer RNA (tRNA) molecules are approximately 80 nucleotides in length. Lineage: Archaea; Thermoproteati; Candidatus Bathyarchaeota. RNAcentral also lists the same sequence under 3 other names. The record is from RNAcentral.
GGGCGGGUAGCCUAGCAAGGAUAGGGCGCAAGCCUCCUAAGCUUGUGAUCGUGGGUUCAAAUCCCACCCCGCCCGCCA